GAGUGGCGAACGGGUGAGUAAUGCAUCGGAACGUGCCAUUGAGUGGGGGAUAACGUAGCGAAAGUUGCGCUAAUACCGCAUAUUCUGUGAGCAGGAAAGCAGGAGACCGCAAGGCCUUGCGCUCUUUGAGCGGCCGAUGUCAGAUUAGCUAGUUGGUGAGGUAAAGGCUUACCGAGGCGACGAUCUGUAGCGGGUCUGAGAGGAUGAUCCGCCACACUGGAACUGAGACACGGUCCAGACUCCUACGGGAGGCAGCAGUGGGGAAUUUUGGACAAUGGGGGCAACCCUGAUCCAGCCAUGCCGCGUGAGUGAAGAAGGCCUUCGGGUUGUAAAGCUCUUUCGGCCGGGAAGAAAUCGCAUGGGCCAAUACCCUGUGUGGAUGACGGUACCGGAAUAAGAAGCACCGGCUAACUACGUGCCAGCAGCCGCGGUAAUACGUAGGGUGCGAGCGUUAAUCGGAAUUACUGGGCGUAAAGCGUGCGCAGGCGGUUUUGUAAGACAGGCGUGAAAUCCCCGGGCUUAACCUGGGAACUGCGUUUGUGACUGCAAGGCUAGAGUACGGCAGAGGGGGGUGGAAUUCCACGUGUAGCAGUGAAAUGCGUAGAGAUGUGGAGGAACACCAAUGGCGAAGGCAGCCCCCUGGGUCGAUACUGACGCUCAUGCACGAAAGCGUGGGUAGCAAACAGGAUUAGAUACCCUGGUAGUCCACGCCCUAAACUAUGUCAACUAGGUGUUGGGUGGGUAAAACCAUUUAGUACCGUAGCUAACGCGUGAAGAUGACCGCCUGGGGAGUACGGCCGCAAGGUUAAAACUCAAAGGAAUUGACGGGGACCCGCACAAGCGGUGGAUGAUGUGGAUUAAUUCGAUACAACGCGAAAAACCUUACCUACCCUUGACAUGCCAGGAACUUGCCAGAGAUGGCUUGGUGCCCGAAAGGGAGCCUGGACACAGGUGCUGCAUGGCUGUCGUCAGCUCGUGUCGUGAGAUGUUGGGUUAAGUCCCGCAACGAGCGCAACCCUUGUCGUUAAUUGCCAUCAUUUUUGGGCACUUUAACGAGACUGCCGGUGACAAACCGGAGGAAGGUGGGGAUGACGUCAAGUCCUCAUGGCCCUUAUGGGUAGGGCUUCACACGUCAUACAAUGGUCGGUACAAAGGGUUGCCAAGCCGCGAGGCGGAGCCAAUCCCAGAAAGCCGAUCGUAGUCCGGAUUGCAGGCUGCAACUCGCCUGCAUGAAGUCGGAAUCGCUAGUAAUCGUGGAUCAGCAUGUCACGGUGAAUACGUUCCCGGGUCUUGUACACACCGCCCGUCACACCAUGGGAGCGGGUUCCGCCAGAAGUAGGUAGCCUAACCGCAAGGGGGGCGCUUACCACGGCGGGGUUCGUGACUGGGGUGAAGUCGGAACAAGGUA
Molecule: ribosomal RNA, 1408 nt
Filed under: metagenome
Description: bacterial SSU rRNA
Rfam family: Bacterial small subunit ribosomal RNA
Source: RNAcentral